Unclassified non-coding RNA from Callithrix jacchus (white-tufted-ear marmoset), 281 nucleotides. It matches the Rfam family "Metazoan signal recognition particle RNA". From Rfam's summary of the family: The signal recognition particle (SRP) is a universally conserved ribonucleoprotein. It is involved in the co-translational targeting of proteins to membranes. The eukaryotic SRP consists of a 300-nucleotide 7S RNA and six proteins: SRPs 72, 68, 54, 19, 14, and 9. The record is from Ensembl. Lineage: Eukaryota; Metazoa; Chordata; Mammalia; Primates; Cebidae.
GUCAAGCAUGAUGGUCUGUUCCUGUAAACCCAGCUACUCGGGAGGCUGAGGCAGGAGGAUCACUUGAGUCCAGCAGUUCUGGGCAAUAGUGCUCUAUGCUGAUUGGGUCUCCAUGUUAAAUUCUGAAUUAAUAUGAUGACCUCCCACCUUCCAGGAGUAGGGGACCACAGGUUGCCUAAAAAGGGUGAACUGGCCCAAGUCAGAAAUGGAGCAGGUCAAAACUGUGUCUGUGAGUAGCCACUGCACUCCAUCCUAGGCAACAUAGUGAGACCCCAUCUCUA